RNAcentral lists this ribosomal RNA (305 nucleotides) under uncultured bacterium. RNAcentral's name for it is "partial 16S ribosomal RNA". It matches the Rfam family "Bacterial small subunit ribosomal RNA", at positions 508 to 807 of the family's 1533-position model. The record is from RNAcentral.
ACAGCAGUCGCCGCGGGAAUACAGAGGGUGCGAGCGUUAAUCGGAUUUACUGGGCGUAAAGCGUGCGUAAGCGGCUUCUUAAGUCGGAUGUGAAAUCCCUGAGCUUAACUUAGGAAUUGCAUUCGAUACUGGGAAGCUAGAGUAUGGGAGAGGAUGGUAGAAUUCCAGGUGUAGCGGUGAAAUGCGUAGAGAUCUGGAGGAAUACCGAUGGCGAAGGCAGCCAUCUGGCCUAAUACUGACGCUGAGGUACGAAAGCAUGGGGAGCAAACAGGAUUAGAUACCCGGGUAGUCCCUGUCUCUUAUAC